RNAcentral lists this long non-coding RNA (2830 nucleotides) under Salvia miltiorrhiza (redroot sage). Its description in RNAcentral is "long non-coding RNA (SMIL_LNC007974)". The record is from RNAcentral. Lineage: Eukaryota; Viridiplantae; Streptophyta; Magnoliopsida; Lamiales; Lamiaceae.
AAGGAUCCCUUUUUGCUGAUCAACCAGUUAUUUGUACACUAAUUUGAUUUCACAUCCGUCAUGUUAAUACCAAUUCUUAUGUAUUCGUGGAGAAAGGCUAAAUUGGACUGUCACAAAAUGAGUAAAUACCUUGAUACAGAGUGAGGGCAGAUUCUGACUUGGAUGCAACAGACCUUGAAGGAGAUUAAGACAUAACUCGAUUAGAACCUUUCAUCCUUUCAUUCUUGUGUGUGCAGAAAUUGAGUCUAAACAAAUUCUAAUGGAAAUUAAGCAGUUCAACUACGAGCAUGAUUUCACCACCAAAAGCUUCUCAAUCCACCCAUUGACCAAUCACCAAGAAACAUAAAAUAUGCAUACAUACAUACAUACAUACAUAUAUAGAUAUAUCAGCUCUUUUAGCUUCAUAUCAAAGUAUCAAAGAGUUCAUAAACAGCCCAACUUUCAGAAAUCAACUCAUCACUUGAACUACAUACAUUACACAGUAAAGAGCACCCAAUAAAACUAAUUGCACACACACACACACACACACACACACACACACACAUAUACAGAUCUGAAACAUGGGAUCCGUCCAAAGAUGGCUAUUUUUUCGAAGAGGAUACCUAAUUCGAUAACUGAAUUUGGGAAAAUUACCUGGCCCACCUGCAUAAGUAAUAUCUGGCUAAGAAGGUGGCAAUCUCAGGACUGCUACCCGCCGUACGAACAUAGGGAGGGGAGCGCGAACCAAUUUUAGAGCGCAGCGCCGACGGCGAAGGUACUCGUGAGACAGCGCGGCAGCAGUCGAGCUGAGAGGUCAGGGAGGGGAGCGCGACGAACACAGGGAGGGGAGCGCGAAAGCCUCACCAAUUUUAGAGCCCAGCGCCGACGGCGAAGGCGCUCGUGAGAGAGAGCGGCAGCAGUCGAGCCGAGGUCAGGGCUCAACCCUUGUCUUCGUCGUGUGCGUGUGAAUGAGUAGGUGAGAACAGGGGAUGACGAUUGCCUCGCCAAUUUCAGAGGCGGCGGCAGCCAGCCUCGCCGGAGCUAAUCGUGGCGGAGAUCCUUGAGGUGACAACAUUUUGGAAGAAGAUCUAGGGCACGAACUGAGAAAUUGAGGGAUGAGAAGGAGAGGGGUGAAAAUCUGCUGAGAGAUGAGGAGAAAUGGAGGCACGGCUUCGCUGGAUCCAGGCACCGUGGCCGACGACGCCGGAGAAGAGAAGGAGGGCGGGNGCAGCAAUCUUAAUCAAUUUUUGGUUGUUUUAACACUUUCUUUCUUCAAGUGUAAAUUGUCAAGACCAAUCUUCAACACUCAAUCAAUAUGGAUAUCAAAUAUACAUAGCGCAUUUUUUCACUCAAAAAUAGAUUUCUCAUGAGAUAGAAGGAUAGAGCGUCAUGCAUCGAACGUCUUAUGUAUAUUGAGAUGGGUGGCUAUAUAGCUAGAGUGGGAGUUACUUCAUUAAAUCUAGCUCCAUAUUUCCAUGCAAAAAAACUGGGAAUCUUGAUUAGGAUAUGCUAAUUACAAAGGCAAUAUUUUUGGUUGAAUGAAGCAUCAAUUUCAAAGUAAUAGUUCCAUACGUGCAAGCAUGAACCAUAGGCAGCCUUAGCUUUCAAUACUCAACAAGCAAGCUAGCUCCUAUGUCACAAUAACCAUUUUUAUAUAAUACACAUAUAUAUACAAUCUCUCUCUCUACUCGUCUCCCCAUAAACAAAAUUUCAAGAGGGUAAGACAGAAUAUAAUACUCCCUCCGUCCACGAAAUGAGUACCCAUAUUUCCUUUUUCGUCCGUCCACGAAAUGAGUAUCCAUUUCCCUUUUUGGCAAGUGUACCCCACACAUCUCUUUAAUUAAUACACUCAAAAAGUGGGACCCUUAAACUAUUUACACUACACUCCAUACAUUUCUUAAAACCCGUGCCGUCCACAAAUGGGUACUCAUUUCGUGGACGGAGGGAGUACAAAUUAAACUUAAAGAGUUUUAAGAGCAGUGGUCCAACUGUGGUGGAGUACAUGCAUAAAUGUAGGAGAACUAAGUGGAUAGAGUUGCAGAUUGAUAAAGGAAACUCGGAAUAUUCCAACAGCUAAACUUUUCCCUUUUCUCACUUUUGUGUUUAAACUAGCUUCACUAAUUUAAUUUCUUUCUUGAUUUAUAUAGAAGUAAGAAGCUGUCACCAAGGAUCCCUUUUUUGUCUGAUCAACCAGUUAUUUGUACACUAAUUUGAUUUCACAUCCGUCAUGUUAAUACCAAUUCUUAUGUAUUCGUGGAGAAAGGCUAAAUUGGACUGUCACAAAAUGAGUAAAUACCUUGAUACAGAGUGAGGGCAGAUUCUGACUUGGAUGCAACAGACCUUGAAGGAGAUUAAGACAUAACUCGAUUAGAACCUUUCAUCCUUUCAUUCUUGUGUGUGCAGAAAUUGAGUCUAAACAAAUUCUAAUGGAAAUUAAGCCGUUCAACUACGAGCAUGAUUUCACCACCAAAAGCUUCUCAAUCCACCCAUUGACCAAUCACCAAGAAACAUAAAAUAUGCAUACAUACAUACAUACAUACAUAUAUAGAUAUAUCAGCUCUUUUAGCUUCAUAUCAAAGUAUCAAAGAGUUCAUAAACAGCCCAACUUUCAGAAAUCAACUCAUCACUUGAACUACAUACAUUACACAGUAAAGAAGCACCCAACUAAAACUAAAUUGCACACACACACACACACACACACACACACACACACAUAUACAGAUCUGAAACAUGGGAUCCGUCCAAAGAUGGCAUUUUUUCGAAGAGGAUACCUAAUUCGAUAACUGAAUUUGGGAAAAUUUACCUGGCCCACCUGCAUAAGUAAUAUCUGGCUAAGAAGGUGGCAAUCUCA